Molecule: transfer RNA, 81 nt
Filed under: Vagococcus teuberi
Lineage: Bacteria; Bacillati; Bacillota; Bacilli; Lactobacillales; Enterococcaceae
Description: tRNA-OTHER
Source: RNAcentral
GGGCUAUAGCCCUCAGCUGGUUAGACAGCGCACGCGCUGAUAAGCGUGAGGUCGAUGGUUCGACGGUCCAUUUAGGGCCCA